This 503-nucleotide ribosomal RNA is filed under the name uncultured bacterium. RNAcentral's name for it is "partial 16S ribosomal RNA". It matches the Rfam family "Bacterial small subunit ribosomal RNA", at positions 30 to 523 of the family's 1533-position model. The record is from RNAcentral.
AUUGAACGCUGGCGGCAGGCUUAACACAUGCAAGUCGAGCGGGGUGAUGGUGCUUGCACUAUCACUUAGCGGCGGACGGGUGAAUAAUGCUUAGGAAUCUGCCUAUUAGUGGGGGACAACAUCUCGAAAGGGAUGCUAAUACCGCAUACGUCCUACGGGAGAAAGCAGGGGAUCACUUGUGACCUUGCGCUAAUAGAUGAGCCUAAGUCGGAUUAGCUAGUUGGUGUGGUAAAGGCCUACCAAGGCGACGAUCUGUAGCGGGUCUGAGAGGAUGAUCCGCCACACUGAGACUGAGACACGGCCCAGACUCCUACGGGAGGCAGCAGUGGGGAAUAUUGGACAAUGGGGGGAACCCUGAUCCAGCCAUGCCGCGUGUGUGAAGAAGGCCUUAUGGUUGUAAAGCACUUUAAGCGAGGAGGAGGCUCUUUUGGUUAAUACCCAAGAUGAGUGGACGUUACUCGCAGAAUAAGCACCGGCUAACUCUGUGCCAGCCGCCGCAGUAA